CACCCUUUAAUCCGUGAUUAAUGCGGAUGUCAUUAUGUGCCUGUUCAGUAUAGCCGUCGUGAAUGUACAUGGGGCAAUAGGCUAGAACAGGACAAAAAGCAUAGGAGACGCCAGGAUACUAUAGUCAUAAGCAAACGCGAGUGUAUUUGACAGCUGGACCACAAUAAGCGGCUGGAAGUGAAAGUAUAUCCAGUCAGCAAGCUUCGCGGUACAAACUAAAUGUAUCGCUAAUAAAACGUCGUCUGGUUGCCUCUGAGUAACUAAUUUGCCAUCUUCUCCAAAGUUUGAGCUGCGUAUAGCCCGUGGCGUAUUGAUUGGAACCGAUGGGGCGCCGAGAACUCUCAAGAACCUUCCCCCGCGGACAUCACCUCAAGAUCCUGACGCGCUUUAGCAUUUGGACCCCAUGCACCGCUACUGAGUCAGACACCGUUCGAUAACACGUUGUUGAUCGACGUCAGUCAGCCCUAGUGGGCUAAGUGGCCAGGACGAAUUCAGGGUCACAUCGAGUGCGCAGCGUGGAUGCUAAUCGAAAUUAUGACAGUAUUUUGGGACUUCAGGCUGUGUGAGGUAAAUGCACUUCAUGGACACGCAGGAAACAGUCCAUUGCGAUUUUUACCGCUUCGCUAAAGACGCAAGUGUCUUUCUAAGGUUGCGGACCGUCAGAUCUGAUUUUGCAUCUGACCCGGACUACGCUAUAACCAUUAAUGCCGCUAACACUAUUCAUAGCUAUGUGACAGACAGUAGAACUAGGUAGUGAUAUAGAAAAAAAUACGUCAUAUGAGAGAGCGAUUAACUAUACUACGCUGUCCUGUUUUCCGUUUUUUUCGUCGCUGCUUAAUACGGCGCUGCUGUAUGGAUACUACUAGUGGAACCUGUGACGACGUACUGCUAUAGUUAGUUAUUAAAUAUUUAUUCUAAGCUACGGGCCUGAUAGACAUUCUGCAGACCAUAGCGGCGUACUACAUAAAGACAUUUGUCCAUAAUCAUUUCUAAACAUUUUUGAUUCCUUGGUAUAAUUAGGCCAUUCACAGGCCGUAGUACCUUCUUCUAUUUGAGCCGUCCGUUUAAAAGAAUUUGCAGAAGAACGUAGACUGCAAAUUCAACAACGACCGAUGCGCGCGAAAGAAGCGCACGUUCGUAGACAAAACAAACUAAGUUGGCCACGAAAUAGCCCGUGCCUAUAGAAUGCUAUGUAAGUACGGAUACACGAAACGACUAGAUCGUUUGUACGAUAUGCAAGUUAUUUACUAGCUUCUCUCGAAAAUUACAAUACUAUGUAAUUGUGGGAAAUCGACUGUCAUUCCUUCUAAAAAGCUCAGCUCUGCUGUUCUCGUCUUGUAUUGGGAACAGUAGCAUUUUAAAUUAAUUAAAAAAAUUCCGCACACUUUUUUGUGUGCGCGUCUAUUUGCGUAGACCGUAAAUCCCGUAAUACUAAAUUUCUAUUAUUUGACACUUACAAGUCUUUGAAGAGCGACUUGUCAAAGCAUCGCAGAAACGUACAUGUAUAAUUAGUUUACUAUAUUCCUUUAUUUUAAAGAAACGGUGUCAUGAAAAUGGAACGACGCAGUAUAGGCUGCAGAUUUGCGAAUGAUCGUCUGGUCGGCUCACGAAGUGAAUACUCCUAAUGGAGUCGCUAAAGGUGUCGGCCUUUCUGUAGAUCUCAAAUAGCUGCUGAAUCUAAAGGAACAGGAGUAAAAAGCCUCAAAAUGCAGACGCUAAGAAUUCCUGGCACGAUGCCAUCAUUUGUGCCAUACUCCCAGCGUUGCUUGUAAGUUCAGUAGGCCAAGCAUGGCUAUCGCUAUGUAGCUCCCUUUACUGCCGACGAGCGCCUCCAACUGCAGCUGCCCGACGACUGCAACUCUCGAAUGCUGCAGACAUCAUCGAAGCACCUGCUGCUACAUUACUUUAGGACUUCGGCCCUGUCAUAGGUAUAUCAAGCUGCUGAUUACUAGCAAAAGAUGCUGCAGACCUGAGGCUUAAUUAUUGGCCGUUCAUUUUUUUAGUAAUUGCCCUAGGGCCGCCCUAUUCUGUAUUGGCGCACUGCCAAUCCAGUAUGGCGGGUGGAGAGAUGUACGGUGCGCCUAAGGUCGAGACGGCUGGGACUACGUCUAAUAGUGGUUAUUUUUAUAUUUUGCUUCAUGCCGGUUUAGUUUGUCUUGAGCGUCUUAAGUAAUUGUUGCCACUUAGACUUCUGCUAUGCAGAAUGUCUAUUUCGAAAUAUUUAUUGAUUAUUCUGGGAAAUUGGGAACAGUAUAAGUGAGAACAAUUUAGAAAUUGAUUGGAACUGGAUUUGUUGCAGGCUGCUCUAAAUGCCAUUUGCUGCGGUCUAUUUACAUUGACUAAUAUUCAGGCAGGCAAUUCGCAGACAUGGGGUCCAACUUGACAGAUAGAGGCAACGUAACAAAAACGUAGAAAACUCACAAGUAAAAAAAAAUUACAGCUAAAGUUGCAAUCAGGAUACUCACUGUGUAGAUGUUUGCCAGAAGAACCUUUAAUGUUUAUAUCAUCGAUAUGAAAAUGGGUAUAAUACAUUAGAAACCGAAUGUAUAAUUAAAAUUUAACUAAAAUGAGUGUCGAGAAUAUCGUAAUAAACAUCUACUUCAAACACGAGUAGGUACGAGAAAAUUAACGCUUUAUUGUUAUUAAGACAUUCGAAAAGUAUUCAACCUGUUUACUAACAACAGUGUACAGCUACAGGAAAAUAUAUUAUGUAGUGCACAUUUUUAAUCGGAUCCCUACUGAUCGGUAUCAGUCAUUUAUAUCAGUAUUUAAUGUCCGGACACCCAUGUCUCUUGAACUAAACAAGCAAAAAUUAUAAAUUUCAGCGUAGAUCUUAGCUAGCCCCCUGUUGUUUAUAAGUGGAACCUGCACUACCAAAACUUUUUGGUCGAUGUAUACCUACUAGCUAUAUUGCUUUACGUAAUUCCGCACCGUACGUAUUUUGCGAGACCAAUUGCUAAUUGAUCUUUUUAGCGCAAUAAAGUAAGUAAAAUUACACGAAUUCGAAUUUGUGGA
This is a long non-coding RNA of Varroa destructor (honeybee mite), 3015 nucleotides long. RefSeq lists it as uncharacterized. Lineage: Eukaryota; Metazoa; Arthropoda; Arachnida; Mesostigmata; Varroidae. The record is from RefSeq and is a predicted model, not a curated record.